RNAcentral lists this transfer RNA (57 nucleotides) under Nippostrongylus brasiliensis. It matches the Rfam family "tRNA", at positions 8 to 63 of the family's 71-position model. From Rfam's summary of the family: Transfer RNA (tRNA) molecules are approximately 80 nucleotides in length. The record is from Rfam by way of RNAcentral. Lineage: Eukaryota; Metazoa; Nematoda; Chromadorea; Rhabditida; Heligmosomidae.
UAGCACAGUGGUUAGUGCAGUCUGCCGGAGAGAGAAAGACACGGGUUCAAUUCCCGU